UACGGAAGGCAGCAGUGAGGAAUAUUGGUCAAUGGGUGCAAGCCUGAACCAGCCAUCCCGCGUGAAGGACGACUGCCCUAUGGGUUGUAAACUUCUUUUGUAUAGGGAUAAACCUACCCUCGUGAGGGUAGCUGAAGGUACUAUACGAAUAAGCACCGGCUAACUCCGUGCCAGCAGCCGCGGUAAUACGGAGGGUGCAAGCGUUAUCCGGAUUUAUUGGGUUUAAAGGGUCCGUAGGCGGACUUAUAAGUCAGUGGUGAAAGCCUGUCGCUUAACGAUAGAACUGCCAUUGAUACUGUAAGUCUUGAGUAUAUUUUGAGGUAGCUGGAAUAAGUAGUGUAGCGGUGAAAUGCAUAGAUAUUACUUAGAACACCAAUUGCGAAGGCAGGUUACCAAGAUAUAACUGACGCUGAGGGACGAAAGCGUGGGGAGCGAACAGGGAUUAGAUACC
This 451-nucleotide ribosomal RNA is filed under the name uncultured bacterium. RNAcentral describes it as "bacterial SSU rRNA". It matches the Rfam family "Bacterial small subunit ribosomal RNA", at positions 340 to 786 of the family's 1533-position model. The record is from RNAcentral.